UCCGUCGGGAAAUCCGCCCGCUCAACGGGCGGCCGUCCGGCGGAACCUGUGUGGCUUGGGACCGGGAGGCCUGAGGGGUACGAUCGGGGUAGGAGUGAAAUCCUGUAAUCCCGCUCGGACCGCCGAUGGGGAAACCACCUCAGGAGAACGGAUCCGACAGUGAGGGACGAAAGCCAGGCUCUCGAACCGGAUUAGAUACC
RNAcentral lists this ribosomal RNA (200 nucleotides) under uncultured archaeon. RNAcentral describes it as "partial 16S ribosomal RNA". It matches the Rfam family "Archaeal small subunit ribosomal RNA", at positions 538 to 737 of the family's 1478-position model. The record is from RNAcentral.